Molecule: ribosomal RNA, 777 nt
Filed under: Levilactobacillus brevis
Lineage: Bacteria; Bacillati; Bacillota; Bacilli; Lactobacillales; Lactobacillaceae
Description: bacterial SSU rRNA
Rfam family: Bacterial small subunit ribosomal RNA
Source: RNAcentral
GUCGAACGAGCUUCCGUUGAAUGACGUGCUUGCACUGAUUUCAACAAUGAAGCGAGUGGCGAACUGGUGAGUAACACGUGGGGAAUCUGCCCAGAAGCAGGGGAUAACACUUGGAAACAGGUGCUAAUACCGUAUAACAACAAAAUCCGCAUGGAUUUUGUUUGAAAGGUGGCUUCGGCUAUCACUUCUGGAUGAUCCCGCGGCGUAUUAGUUAGUUGGUGAGGUAAAGGCCCACCAAGACGAUGAUACGUAGCCGACCUGAGAGGGUAAUCGGCCACAUUGGGACUGAGACACGGCCCAAACUCCUACGGGAGGCAGCAGUAGGGAAUCUUCCACAAUGGACGAAAGUCUGAUGGAGCAAUGCCGCGUGAGUGAAGAAGGGUUUCGGCUCGUAAAACUCUGUUGUUAAAGAAGAACACCUUUGAGAGUAACUGUUCAAGGGUUGACGGUAUUUAACCAGAAAGCCACGGCUAACUACGUGCCAGCAGCCGCGGUAAUACGUAGGUGGCAAGCGUUGUCCGGAUUUAUUGGGCGUAAAGCGAGCGCAGGCGGUUUUUUAAGUCUGAUGUGAAAGCCUUCGGCUUAACCGGAGAAGUGCAUCGGAAACUGGGAGACUUGAGUGCAGAAGAGGACAGUGGAACUCCAUGUGUAGCGGUGGAAUGCGUAGAUAUAUGGAAGAACACCAGUGGCGAAGGCGGCUGUCUAGUCUGUAACUGACGCUGAGGCUCGAAAGCAUGGGUAGCGAACAGGAUUAGAUACCCUGGUAGUCCAUGCCGU